Molecule: ribosomal RNA, 410 nt
Filed under: uncultured beta proteobacterium
Lineage: Bacteria; Pseudomonadati; Pseudomonadota; Betaproteobacteria
Description: bacterial SSU rRNA
Rfam family: Bacterial small subunit ribosomal RNA
Source: RNAcentral
GGAGGAAAGCAGGGGAUCGCAAGACCUUGCGCUCAUUGAGCGGCCGAUGCCUGAUUAGCUAGUUGGUGAGGUAAAGGCUUACCAAGGCGACGAUCAGUAGCUGGUCUGAGAGGACGACCAGCCACACUGGGACUGAGACACGGCCCAGACUCCUACGGGAGGCAGCAGUGGGGAAUUUUGGACAAUGGGGGAAACCCUGAUCCAGCCAUGCCGCGUGAGUGAAGAAGGCCUUCGGGUUGUAAAGCUCUUUCAGCCGGAACGAAACGGUCACGGCUAAUACCUGUGACUACUGACGGUACCGGAAGAAGAAGCUCCGGCUAACUACGUGCCAGCAGCCGCGGUAAUACGUAGGGUGCGAGCGUUAAUCGGAAUUACCGGGCGUAAAGCGUGCGCAGGCGGUUUUGUAAGUC